AGUCACUGACAUUAGAUACCCGCGUAGUCCCAGCCGUAAACAAUGUGCGUUAGGUGUGUCGGUAACCACGCGUUACUGAUGCGCCGAAGAGAAAUCGUGAAACGCACCACCUGGGAAGUACGGUCGCAAGGCUGAAACUUAAAGGAAUUGGCGGGGAGCACCACAACAGGUGGAGCCUGCGGUUUAAUUGGAUUCAACGCCGGACAUCUCACCGGAUAAGACAGCUGAAUGAUUGUCAAUCUGAAGGUUUACAUGACUAGCUG
RNAcentral lists this ribosomal RNA (263 nucleotides) under uncultured archaeon. Its description in RNAcentral is "partial 16S ribosomal RNA". It matches the Rfam family "Archaeal small subunit ribosomal RNA", at positions 716 to 982 of the family's 1478-position model. The record is from RNAcentral.